Pseudopipra pipra is the source of this 9045-nucleotide long non-coding RNA. RefSeq lists it as uncharacterized. The transcript has 2 exons. NCBI's taxonomy places the organism in Eukaryota, Metazoa, Chordata, Aves, Passeriformes, Pipridae. The record is from RefSeq and is a predicted model, not a curated record.
CGUUAACCUGCACCGUGAGCUGUCAUUGGCCAAGGCACGGAGGAGACCAACGCUGAGGAGGGGGAGAGGAGAAGGAGCAGCUGGGCAGGGAAAUGGCGCCGGGCCGGGAGGGGGGAGCGGGAUGGAGAUGGGGCGGGAAGGAGGAGUUGGGCAGGGAAGUGGUCCUGUCCCCGCAGCCCCGCGCCUUCUCUGACAUGCCCCUCUCGAAGCAGCGUGUGUUCCCCACUUUGAUUUCCAACGGCCCCUUUUGUUCUCUGCACAAAGGCCCGCUGAGGUCGGGCGGGCGCUGGCGGCGGCGGCGGCAAUGGCGCGCAGAACGGGCUGAGGCGGCCCGCCAUGGCCUUCUGCUCCCUCAGAUAACGCGUCAGCCCAGGGCAGCGCUGUCUUCCCUCCCUCCCUGCUUGCCUGCCUGCCUGCCUGCCCCACACAUGCAGCGCUUAGAUUACAGCUGCUCUGGCACUGUGUGUGUGGGGACGUCUGCCCGGGGCCUGCCGUCCUUACAGCGGCCAUGGCGCCGCACCGACCCGCAGAGGUUCUCGGCUGGAGAGCCGGGCAGCCGAGACCACCAGUCUAAUUAGUGCCUUCAACCUAUGCAAGGGCUGAAAUGAAAUUGUUAUUCCCCACCUGAGAAAUGAGAACGUCCUCUCCUGCCAUGCGGUUUCAUGCUGAUGAAGUAGAUUCUCUGUUCUCUGUGCAGAUGUUACUCUGAGUAGUGUGAGCAUUACUGGAUCACCCACAGAGCCUCGCUGCUGUAAAGGGCAGUGUCACCUUGGAUAGUUUUUAAAGUGCAGUUUCAUGUUAUGUUUUAUCUGAUCCAAAUCAACUUGCUGCUAGGAAAAAAGUGAGACAUCUUCCCCCACCCUAUUCCUGCUUAACAAUUCCACCAGCUGGCCUGCCCCUCUCUGAGACAGCUCACAGCUAGCAGGAGACUCACAGGGGUCAACAGUUUUCCACUGGUUUCAGUUCCUCCAUCAUCAUUUCAUUCUGGUCAGACGAGCAUUGGCCAGCUCUGGUGAGCUGGGAGGUUCAGUACUGUGUCCUUCCUCUCAGUUAUCUGGCUUCAAAAUGUUGGUUUUCCACAUUGCCAGCCUCACAGCACCAUCAGCUCUGGUGGGUCCUCAUUUGUUCAAACAUCAUAGUCCUGUGGGUCAACUUGCUCUCAGCUACUUCUACAAAAGGCUCCACUAUUUUCCAGUUACGAUCUCGACAGUAUUUGUGUAAAGCCAUAGCCACAUUUGCUCAGGUCUAACUGCCUGGAACCUCUUAAGCAGCUUGACUGAUAAUUGGCAAGGAUGUGAUGUGACACAAUUUCUACUUUUAGAAGUCUGAUGUUACCAUCACUGCUACAAGCAGAGUAUGUCACUCCACAUCUGUAUUUGGUUUGGUGGGAGGGGGUGUUGUUGAGUUUUUGGGUUUUUGUUUGUUUCCUUUUUUUUGUGUGUAGAAGCAAGCACAUAUUUUGUAAUGACUCAUUAAAAUAGAGGAGGCAAAGAAAAAUGUCCUCCAAUGCCAAAAAACACCACAGUAGCAAUCGAUUGAUCUAAGAUGACUGCUCUGAUAAAUAUGCUACAGAGGAGGCAGAUCUUGCUUCAAAGAAAAACUGAGAGGAUGCAUCAGCUUUUAAAGAAGCCAGGUGGGUGAUUGGCUGGGUGGACAGCACCUCUAUGUCCUCACUGGCUAAGGGAGAGCUCUCACAUCCCCUGCUGUGCCUGCUUUCCCCUGCUUUAAGUGAAAAGGGUGAUUUUAUGACCAUAACCAUAGCUAAAUAAACAGUAGUGCUAUACACACCCAAUCCUUCAUCAUGAAAAGAUAAUUAUAGAUUUCUCUGAAAGGACUGUGGGUAUGUGUGCGCAAGAAUCACGUAAGCAAAAAUAAAAUAUGCAAUGAGGGACUUAACCCAGAUCUGCCUGUUGCCUAGCUCCAUUUUGUGUGUGAAGUAACGUGGAAAUUUGACUGCAUUACUAGUUCUAGACAGAUACUUUGUAACAAUGCCCAACCCAGAAAGUGAAAUCAAGUAACAAGAAACCAGCCACUUAGAGACAAGCAUAUUUUUCCUGCAAGACUGCAGAAUUACUGUUGUUCCAUAAUUUCAUGAGCUACAUCCCCAAUUCCUUUAUAAAUGAUCUUUCUUCUUUUGCACAUAUUGUGUCAGAGAUGUCUCCACUGUGGUUAGAGUUUUUUGACCAAGGUAAAAGAUACUUCUUUAAGCACAAGUAACAAUUUCUUGCGAAUUUUUCCACAAAAAAAAUUACAAGUAUUUUCUAGAGAACUACUAGCUACCCACUACUAACUAAAAAAUGUCUAAAAAGAGUUCCUUUACAGUAUGACAAUAUAUUUGUGGCUCAGAGACAGAGGAGAGAAGUCUGGCAGCUCUGAAGAAAAUUUAAUUUACAGCACAAAAAGGUGGCAUCUGAAGGAAGAUCAAUUUGUGUGGGAGUCAGUAACUCCUGCUGUCACAUUAACAGCUUCAGCACCAUGGAUGUUAUUUUGCUGCCCUGGAUACUGUACCACGGCAAAGAGAGCUCCUGUGAUAAGCGAGAUCCAUCCCGACCCAGAAGCGAGGGGCCAGCUGCAGGGGAAAGGAGCUGCUCGUGCAGAGCUCACUGCAGGAGAGAAGCCAAAGACCUGGCUGGGAAGCGAUGAACUGCCCUGAUAAAUACAGCACGGCAGAGAGCCAGCUCUGGCCAAACAGCAUCACCAGGAGGUGGAAAACUAUUACUCCUCCAUUCACCCUCCUCCUUCAUUAAGAUGGAAGGUCAAUCAGUGUGAAGUUAGCAAGAGCUGAGGCCUGACAAUCAGGUUUGGACUAUGAGACUGCAGCAUCUUGGCCAGCCACAGACAGCAGUGGGCGAGUUAAUAGCUCAUCACCAUUUCAGUGGAUUUCUCUUUCACUGUGUCAGUGCCUCUUAGACUUGACAGCAUGAGGACUUCUUGCUGCAUCAGCCCAGUGGCAGUUGCACUCCUGAACCUGGCCUCUAAACUGGCAGCUUCGUCUGGAAAAGUUAUUUGAGCUGAGUUAUUUCAGCCUCUGUGUUCACUGAGGGGGGGAGGGCACACAAUCAAGGGCUGAUAAUAUCAGACUAUGCUCUGUGAGCCCCAUCUGGGGAUUUGUUUUUAACUUCACAUCAAUUCAGAGUGUUUUGAUGAGGCCAGGAAGAGAGACUGUGAGUGGGUAUACUCUAUGAACGAAGUAAAACAGAGUUCUGGGGAUCUUUGGGGUGUGCAUGAGGUCUCUUUUAUUCUGAUGCUGGCAGGCAGCUUCAGCAAGAACUCUGAUAAACCAGGUAGUUCAGAUGAAGCUCUGAAACUCUUUUGGGGAUAAAUCACUGUUGAGGCUGUAGCUGCCCAAGUCCCUGGGGAUGAACACUGCAGCCAUUAUUCAGUAAUAAUUUUCCACUCUUCAUAGGCAACAACUGCUCAGUGAUUUACAAGAACACUUUGUUCUGUUUUCAUAUAUACUUGUUUACAAAGGGGGAGAGAGAAAUUCCUGGUGGAUGUUGACACAGUUGUGAUACCAUUAAGUUUAUAGCUUUUUCCUGAAGGAAUGUAAUUUUUUCUCCUAAGCUCUCUAUGUUAGAGGAUUUGGCAAACAUUGUCAAAAAGAAUAUUCUUUCAGAGGACUCUGAAACUGUUCUUCUCCCUAUGCUCGUACAUGGGCUUGUGGGUGGCCUCAGCAGAGCCUCCUCAGAUGCACUACAGGGGAGCUGGCCAUGGGCAAGCUGGAGAAUAGUUCCCAAAGAGACUUUGCAGCCAAAGUAUCAUACUGAGUAGGUGCUGUGGCUUCUUAACCCACUGACCCUCUUACUGCUAUUACUGUGGUGCUUGGUGAGGGAGGUGGUGCAGCUCUUGUGACAGGAGGAGGUUUCUGUGCUUGACUGCUAAGAGAACUGGUUUGAGACUAACCCCAGAUCUGUCUGAUCUGUCUGAGGAACCAUCCAAAGUAAACCAGCUCUGUUGGGGAAGUACUGUUGGCCUGCUUUUUUGGCACUCACAGGGUGAGACUUUGUUGAGGCCUUGUCCUGGCAUUGUGAUGAUGGGACACAUCUCCUCUGGGUCUGAGGCAACACAGGUGUUAUUCAGGAAGGUAACAUUUGAGCCAUUCACCUUAGUCACCCAGUUUCAGUGAGACUGAUUUGGAUGGACUUAUCAGGAACACAGGUCUCAGACAGGCUCUGUCUGACCACAAAAGGGUAGGUCUGUCCCAGGACACAAAGCUUGGGAGCUACCAGUCUGCUGGUGACACCAAGCACCCUCCUUUGCAGUGCAAAGUGAUGGACUGAAGAUGGAUCACACUUUAUUAAUUUUUUUUUUUUUACAUAAGAAAGAAACUACAAAAUUAAAUAUAUAUUAAAAAAAAAAAAAAAAAAAAAAAAGAGAGAGAGAGAGAGGAGAAAGACUACUAACCCAAAACAUUAGCUCAUUGUUCAAGAAAAGGCACCAGACUAGAUGCUUUCUACUGUCUCUCUCAUGACCACAGGCAGAGAUUUUGAAAAGAGAAGGUCUGUGCCUUGGUUUCGCUCUUGCCUCAGAAAAAACCACCCUCUCUGUGAAUGCCGGGGAGCUGGGCCCCUGCCAGCCUGCUCUCUAACAAGCAACGUGGGAGCUGCGGCUCUGCAGCCUGCGGGACCACUGUGUCUUGUACUACCUUUGCUUCAGUGUAUCUCAGCCCUCUGACAGUGUAUCACUGCUGCUGUAAACAAUCAGCAGUUGAAAGAGUCACAUUAUAUUAUCCAGAUAAGUGGCAGUAGUUAUUGUCUCCAAGGCCGUACAUAACAAUACUCUGUGCUAAAUAAAUUCAAGACUUUGAAGGCAAAAAUGUCUUUCUGCCAUACUGCCUCCAGGAAUGAUUGCUUCUUGCCUUUCAAAGGGGGUAAGGAGCCUGCCAGGGCAUUACAGGUUUUGAAGUAACAUCUGUCACGGGACAGGUAAAGAGCCAACACAGUCCAUCAUUUGCCAUCUAUGCCCUCUUGUCUGUUGUCUGUUAGGCCUUUCCUUUGCAAUGCUAAGCAGAAUGAGAGGAGAGUCUUACAGAACUGGGAUCAUUGUAGUGGGAUGUUUUAUGGGGCACUAUAUCACCCCAUGCUUCUGUGGAACAACAACAAUUCUACCACAGUGAAAGGCAGGGGAAGGGGUGGAUUUGCACUGAACCAAAGGAACUGUUGCCUAAAAAAAUAAAAUCCGAAACAAAAUCCAAAACACAAGCAAGCAACUUUUGCCCAUUAUUUGUAUGGAGAAGGCUUUUCAUGAAGAAUGUGGUUAGCAUUGAGAUAUAUAUAUAUAUAUAUUUCCCCUGAGAAGCUUAGCACUGAGUGUUAAUAGACAGAUCAAAGAGCUACUUAGCCACAGGAGCCAGGGAAACUGAACCAGGGCAGCAAAAUAAAAAUCAAUCUGGCUUUUAGUGUGUUUAAUGUGAUUUUGUUUAGAACUGACUUCUGUGUGAGGACUUAGGAAAGGUUGAGAUCAUGAGAAGUUUGUCUCCCACUCUCCUACUCUUCAUAAAAUGACAAGAACCCUUUCUAUCUACAGAAUGAUUUCAGAUAUUCCCUGCCUUUGGUCUCAUCACUCUCUUUUGCCUUAUCUAUUUGCAAGAUUAUUCCACCAGAUCACAUACUAUAAAGAUAUGAAUAGCCUGCUCACCACAACAUUUCUGGCUCCAUGACUUGUGAAUAAUGCGCUCCUUCUCAGCGUAUGCUAGUAAAAAUUUUAGACUGUGCUAUCCCUGACUGUGUAGGGGACACACUUGUUAAAUGAGAGCUAUUUCAAGAAGGUGUUGAAUCUAAAAAAAAACCAAAACAACAAAACCUGAGAGGGAGGACAUUUCUUGAAUCCCUUAGAUCAUAAACUCAGAUCAUAACUGAGCCUGACAAGAAUAAAGAAGACAAAAUCCAGAUACCUCAAACAGUUCCCCAAGUGUCUAGACUUCAGCAGUUCUCCUAGGGCUGGAAGCCAAUACUGGGUUUCACUGAAAGGAGAGAGAAUUUCCCAUUCCUUGCUUGCUUCAUCUGUGGGCAAAGCCCAGCAUUUCAAAAUCCAGUCCCAGAUUCAGUGAGCCAUGCUGGAGCCACUGAAUCAUACCUAGUGCAGGUAGUGGGUAAACAUAUUUUAUCUUAUCUGAAAGAGAAACUCCUCAUUUAGAAGAGGCUCCUCUUUUUUUCCAUGAGACUAAAUGUAAAAAACGGCACGGCAGUGGUCUGCAGCUUUCCUGGAGUUUAAAAUCUUAAAACUUAAAAAGACAUGGAUGCGAUUAAGUACUUAGGAAAAAAAAAAAAACAAAAACAUUCAUCACACAGUUUAGCAUGAUAAUCUCAAAUUUGGGGUUCAGUCAUCCUUUUCUCCCCAUCUUAAGAUUAGCUACAAAAUAGGCAGGCUGGAAUUUAUUUAUUCAUUUUUAAAAUUAGGAGAUGCAAAAAUAAAUAAGUAAAAUGUAAGAUCAAUUUCAUUAAUAUCCAGGACAGGACUGUGGUUAUAUAACAGAGCAGGAAAAAUAUUAUACUUUUUUCAAAAUUCACUUUCCUCCUAAACUGUUCCUUAGGCUAAGAACAAAAGAGAUUCUGAGUCUUUGCAGCCUGGAGUUCUGUUUAUGCUUUUCUUCUUUGUGGACACUUGAAAUAAUUAUCAUCACUCUGCUCAAUUAUUUCUUCUCUCCAUCAGUCACUUAUCUUCUGAUCUUUCCUCCCUAUUCAUGCCAGAACAGCUUGUAUGCAAAGAUGCAAACCGCUGCAUAUAUUAAGCAUGUAUUGUAGGCUCCAGGCAUUCCAGGGGCUUUGACUUGAGGGGGUAAUACUUGUUGCAGAUUCCACAGGCAGCUGAUUUUAGAUGUUCCUGUAAGAGUCUGUACGGCAUGAAAUGUGCUUGAUCUCAUCUGAGCUGUUUCUACAACGGGACAGAUUAUAGGAAAAAAACCAAAACAACACAACCAAGGAGUAUCAGGAAAAAAAAGAACUGUAGAUUCCCUUUGUAUCAUAAAAUAUCUUCCAAAAUAAUUAAAUGUUAAUGACAGUCCUCAUUAAAACAAGUCUCACAGGACAAUGUUGUCACUGUAGCUUAUCUGCCCAGAUUUAAGGAGCCUGGGACCCAUUAAAAGCAGCAUCACUUCAUGCUUUAUUUGAUGUCCAGCAUUUCUGCCACACCUUCCCAAGCGGGCACUGGGUCUUACUGCAAAGAGCUUCAAUACAUCAGACACAGGCCCCUGGCAAAGAGGUUUCCUCACUGCCUCAAGGCUGAUGCCUGGAUAAAAGAGGAGUGUAUUUGGCAGGACAGAGGAUUGGCACAUAAAAACCAAGGUGUGACUUGAACAAGGGCGGGGGAGUCUGCACAGGAAAGUUUAAUAUUACAGAGGCACGGAAGCCUCUGAAGUCUGGGGAGCCACAUGAAAAGCAGGUGCCUGCCUGGGCACGCGGGCUAUCAGGGAAAGGAUAGGAAGCACCGCGCCAUAAUUGCGCAUCAUCUUGUGACUGGUGCAAAUGCUGCCAGGAGCUGGGAUGCUGCAGUACCGAGCUGACUGCUCCCUCAAGACAAGCUGCAAAGCAUGCCCAGAGCUGCAAAGGGAAAGCAAGUGAAUCAGCAAGGGGCAUGUCAGUCCCCAAGCACUGGUUAGGUGCAGAAUCAUAUCAGCAUGAAGAUGAUGCAUAGAGAUGAAAGCAGAGAGAGAUGCUCCUUUGUUUAUAAACACACCAGAGACAAUCAGGUUACUGUGGAAAGUCAUUUUAUUUCAGAAUUCCACGCGCUCUGUCAGAGACCAUGCACUUGGACUUUCCCCUUUGCAAAUCCACAGCCUCCAGGCCUGGGAGAGAUGGGGCAUCAUCUCUUCAUUCUCACUGCGAGUUGCCCACAUACUAAGAGCGAGGGCCCUGAUGGCACCUCGCCAGGGGGCAGAAAGCAGCCUCCUGUUUCCCACAGGGGAAAAUAAAUCCAUCUGACUUGAACGAAUAGCAGUGGAGCUCAGCAGCAGUGAAACCCCACAGCUGAGCAUGUUGGUCCUCAUCCUGUGGUUACAGGGAAUAAGACGACAAGCUCACAGGAAGCUUGUGUGAGCUAAGCUAUAGCAGAACACACCAAGACAUUCUUGGAGCCAAGGCAGUAACCAGCUCAACACAUGCCCUGGGUCUCUUACAAUCAAUCUGUCUCUGAGCCACUCUGCCAGGAAGGUGGCCUGGAGCUGCCCUUUUUACAUUCAGCUUUAGGUUCUCCUGCUCUGUGCUACAGAUUUGACUAGGAAGGAGCCUACCUAUAGGUAAGACAGCCCUCCAGGCUGUACAUAAACAUGUGCACUGCAUUUAAUACUGAAAGGUGCCAGUUAGACUUUGCAACAUUCUGUUUGACCCACAGGCUGGGUACAGCAUUACUGUAAGUUUCCCGCAUUCUUACCCUACACCUUCUUCCCUACCCCUUAUGCCUGACCCUGCUUUUAAAAGAUUCCUAGUUGCAGUGUGUCCCUAUGACCCAUCACAUCUUUGGCCUUUGUUGAGACUGUCACUACCAGGGCAGCUAUUGCCUGCUGUGGUGGCUGCGUGUAGGGAAGUGAGCAUUUGCCUCCUGAGAACAGGCUUGUGGAUAGCUCAGAGGAGGGCAAAAUGAAGGGAAGAUAUGAUGGAAGUGAUUGAAUUCAAGUGAAGUUGAGUAGAGUCUACAGAAAAGGCAAAAAGGCAGCUUCAGUCUCGAUUUGAUACACAAAUUGAGCUCAAUAGCAGCAAAAAAUGGCCAUAAAAUAUUAAUUCAUUAGGUUGCCAGGAAGAAGUAAAAGCUUUCAUGUAAAAAAUUCUAUGUACAGAUAUAUGUGUGACAACUGUUCUCAAGUCAGCUCAGACAGUGGUGUCUCCCUGUUCAUAUCUCACCUUUUUUUUGUAUCUAGAGUUUGGAUCACUUCCAACCACAUUGCUGCUCAUUUCUGUGUGAAGACCAUGGUACUGGAAUCAGCACCAAGAGAGCAGUGACAUCAUGCUGAAGAAAUGAACUUUGGGGGAACUCCUGACAACCCAGAUAUUUUAAUAUUUUUGUUGACCUUCAAGUAAUUAAAAAAGGGGAAUUUCCCCCAGUAGCCUAUAA